AUUCUCAUUAGCUCAAUGGUAGAGCCGGAUACUUCUAAUAUCCUGAUUUUAGUUCGAGUCUGAAAUGAGAAG
RNAcentral lists this transfer RNA (72 nucleotides) under Diaporthe longicolla. RNAcentral's name for it is "tRNA-Arg". It matches the Rfam family "tRNA". Rfam says of the family: Transfer RNA (tRNA) molecules are approximately 80 nucleotides in length. Their secondary structure includes four short double-helical elements and three loops (D, anti-codon, and T loops). Lineage: Eukaryota; Fungi; Ascomycota; Sordariomycetes; Diaporthales; Diaporthaceae. The record is from RNAcentral.